Molecule: ribosomal RNA, 1434 nt
Filed under: uncultured marine bacterium
Lineage: Bacteria
Description: 16S ribosomal RNA
Rfam family: Bacterial small subunit ribosomal RNA
Source: RNAcentral
GAGUUUGAUCCUGGCUCAGAACGAACGCUGGCGGCAGGCCUAAUACAUGCAAGUCGAGCGCGCCCUUCGGGGUGAGCGGCGGACGGGUGAGUAACGCGUGGGAAUAUGCCCUUCUCUAAGGAAUAGCCUCUGGAAACGGAGAGUAAUACCUUAUACGCCCUUUGGGGGAAAGAUUUAUCGGAGAAGGAUUAGCCCGCGUUAGAUUAGGUAGUUGGCGGGGUAAUGGCCUACCAAGCCUACGAUCUAUAGCUGGUUUGAGAGGAUGAUCAGCCACACUGGGACUGAGACACGGCCCAGACUCCUACGGGAGGCAGCAGUAGGGAAUCUUAGACAAUGGGGGCAACCCUGAUCUAGCCAUGCCGCGUGUGUGAUGAAGGCCCUAGGGUCGUAAAGCACUUUCGCCAGAGAUGAUAAUGACAGUAUCUGGUAAAGAAACCCCGGCUAACUCCGUGCCAGCAGCCGCGGUAAUACGAAGGGACCUAGCGUAGUUCGGAAUUACUGGGCUUAAAGAGUUCGUAGGUGGUUGAAAAAGUUGGUGGUGAAAUCCCAGAGCUUAACUCUGGAACUGCCAUCAAAACUUUUCAGCUAGAGUAUGAUAGAGGAAAGCAGAAUUUCCAGUGUAGAGGUGAAAUUCGUAGAUAUUAGAAAGAAUACCAAUUGCGAAGGCAGCUUUCUGGAUCAUUACUGACACUGAGGAACGAAAGCAUGGGUAGCGAAGAGGAUUAGAUACCCUCGUAGUCCAUGCCGUAAACGAUGUGUGUUAGACGUUGGAAAUUUAUUUUCAGUGUCGCAGGGAAACCGAUAAACACACCGCCUGGGGAGUACGACCGCAAGGUUAAAACUCAAAUGAAUUGACGGGGACCCGCACAAGUAGUGGAGCAUGUGGUUUAAUUCGAAGAUACGCGCAGAACCUUACCAACACUUGACAUGUUCGUCGCGACUCUAAGAGAUUAGAGUUUUCGGUUCGGCCGGACGAAACACAGGUGCUGCAUGGCUGUCGUCAGCUCGUGUCGUGAGAUGUUGGGUUAAGUCCCGCAACGAGCGCAACCCUCACUUUUAGUUGCCAUCAUUAAGUUGGGCACUCUGAAAGAACCGCCAGUGAUAAGCUGGAGGAAGGUGGGGAUGACGUCAAGUCCUCAUGGCCCUUACGUGUUGGGCUACACACGUGCUACAAUGGCAUCUACAACAGGAAGCAAAACGGCAACGUUAAGCAAAUCCCGAAAAGAUGCCUCAGUUCGGAUUGCACUCUGCAACUCGAGUGCAUGAAGCUGGAAUUACUAGUAAUCGUGGAUCAGCGUGCCACGGUGAAUGCGUUCCCGGGUCUUGUACACACCGCCCGUCACACCAUGGGAGUUGGUUCUACCUUAAGGCAAGGUUUUAAACCCUUGACCACGGUAUAGUCAGCGACUGGGGUGAAGUCGUAACAAGGUAACC